UCGUGUUUUCGCCGGGGCACUCCAAAAGA
Molecule: small RNA, 29 nt
Filed under: Bombyx mori (domestic silkworm)
Lineage: Eukaryota; Metazoa; Arthropoda; Insecta; Lepidoptera; Bombycidae
Description: ovarian small RNA-29331
Source: RNAcentral